This 466-nucleotide ribosomal RNA is filed under the name uncultured bacterium. RNAcentral's name for it is "bacterial SSU rRNA". It matches the Rfam family "Bacterial small subunit ribosomal RNA", at positions 28 to 507 of the family's 1533-position model. The record is from RNAcentral.
GAUGAACGCUAGCGGCAGGCCUAACACAUGCAAGUCGAACGGAGAUAAUUUGAGUUUACUUAGAUUAUCUUAGUGGCGGACGGGUGAGUAACACGUGAGCAACCUACCUUUGAGAGAGGGAUAGCUUCUGGAAACGGAUGGUAAUACCUCAUAACGUAGUUUUACCGCAUGAUAGGACUACCAAAGAUUUAUCACUCAAAGAUGGGCUCGCGUCUGAUUAGCUAGAUGGUGAGGUAACGGCUCACCAUGGCGACGAUCAGUAGCCGGACUGAGAGGUUGAACGGCCACAUUGGGACUGAGACACGGCCCAGACUCCUACGGGAGGCAGCAGUGGGGAAUAUUGCACAAUGGGGGAAACCCUGAUGCAGCGAUGCCGCGUGGAGGAAGAAGGUUUUCGGAUUGUAAACUCCUGUCUUAAAGGACGAUAAUGACGGUACUUUAGGAGGAAGCUCCGGCUAACUACGUG